This 237-nucleotide ribosomal RNA is filed under the name uncultured bacterium. RNAcentral's name for it is "partial 16S ribosomal RNA". It matches the Rfam family "Bacterial small subunit ribosomal RNA", at positions 99 to 334 of the family's 1533-position model. The record is from RNAcentral.
CGAACGGGUGAGUAACGCGUGGGGAACCUGCCUCAAAGAGGGGGACAACAGUUGGAAACGACUGCUAAUACCGCAUAAGCCCACGGCUCGGCAUCGAGCAGAGGGAAAAGGAGCAAUCCGCUUUGAGAUGGCCUCGCGUCCGAUUAGCUAGUUGGUGAGGUAACGGCCCACCAAGGCGACGAUCGGUAGCCGGACUGGGAGGUUGAACGGCCACAUUGGGACUGAGACACGGCCCAG